GUAGGUGGCAAGCGUUGUCCGGAAUUAUUGGGCGUAAAGCGCGCGCAGGCGGUUCUUUAAGUCUGAUGUGAAAGCCCACGGCUCAACCGUGGAGAGUCAUUGGAAACUGGAGAACUUGAGUACAGAAGAGGAAAGCGGAAUUCCACGUGUAGCGGUGAAAUGCGUAGAGAUGUGGAGGAACACCAGUGGCGAAGGCGGCUUUCUGGUCUGUAACUGACGCUGAGGCGCGAAAGCGUGGGGAGCAGACAGGAUUAGAUACCCUGGUAGUCCACGCCGUAAACGAUGAGUGCUAAGUGUUAGGGGGUUUCCGCCCCUUAGUGCUGCAGCUAACGCAUUAAGCACUCCGCCUGGGAGUACGGCCGCAAGGCUG
This 370-nucleotide ribosomal RNA is filed under the name uncultured organism. Its description in RNAcentral is "partial 16S ribosomal RNA". It matches the Rfam family "Bacterial small subunit ribosomal RNA", at positions 527 to 896 of the family's 1533-position model. The record is from RNAcentral.